CCUACGGGAGGCAGCAGUAGGGAAUCUUUCACAAUGGGCGAAAGCCUGAUGGAGCAACGCCGCGUGCAGGAUGAAGGCCUUCGGGUUGUAAACUGCUUUUAUUAGCGAGAAAUAUGAUGGUAACUUAUGAAUAAGGAUCGGCUAACUACGUGCCAGCAGCCGCGGUCAUACGUAGGAUCCGAGCAUUAUCCGGAGUGACUGGGUGUAAAGAGUUUCGUAGGUGGCAUAAUAAGUAGCUAGUGAAAUCUGGUGGCUCAACCAUUCAGACUAUUAGCUAAACUGUUAAGCUCGAGACCGUUAGGGGUAACUGGAAUUUCUAGUGUAGGAGUGAAAUCCGUAGAUAUUAGAAGGAACACCAAUAGCGUAGGCAGGUUGCUGGGACGGUUCUGACACUAAGGCACGAAAGCGUAGGGAGCAAACGGGAUUAGAUACCCGGGUAGUC
Molecule: ribosomal RNA, 442 nt
Filed under: uncultured bacterium
Lineage: Bacteria
Description: partial 16S ribosomal RNA
Rfam family: Bacterial small subunit ribosomal RNA
Source: RNAcentral